This 413-nucleotide ribosomal RNA is filed under the name uncultured bacterium. RNAcentral's name for it is "bacterial SSU rRNA". It matches the Rfam family "Bacterial small subunit ribosomal RNA", at positions 355 to 787 of the family's 1533-position model. The record is from RNAcentral.
UGGGGAAUAUUGCACAAUGGGGAAGACCCUGAUGCAGCGACGCCGCGUGAGUGAAGAAGUAAUUCGUUAUGUAAAGCUCUAUCAGCAGGGAAGAAAAUGACGUACCUGAGUAAGAAGCCCCGGCUAACUACGUGCCAGCAGCCGCGGUAAUACGUAGGGGGCAAGCGUUAUCCGGAUUUACUGGGUGUAAAGGGAGCGUAGACGGAUCUGCAAGUCUGGAGUGAAAGCCCGGGGCUCAACCCCGGGACGCUUGGAAUACUGUAGGUCUAGAGUGCUGGAGAGGUAAGCGGAAUUCCUAGUGUAGCGGUGAAAUGCGUAGAUAUUAGGAGGAACACCAGUGGCGAAGGCGGCUUACUGGGCGAUAACUGACGUUGAGGCUCGAAAGCGUGGGGAGCAAACAGGAUUAGAUACCC